GAUUAUCCUGGAAUUGGAAUGACUGUUCUUGGAGCUCUGAGGUGCAUUAUUGGUGGCUUCCAUGUUGUAGUUAUUGUAUUCAUGUGUUAUAAUGAAAUGAAACAAAGGGUAGAGCACUGAUUGCCAUGCAGCUGACACAAGAAAAAGCGAUUUAUGUAUGCAGAGUUGAUGUCAUGCAUUUAAGACUAAGGGCUUUGGAAAAGUGUAACCUAAAGCAUAUGAAUGGGAAGGAGAGCAAAACAAAGACAAGAAAUACUCAAAUAUUAGAUAUAUUAACUAUAUAAAAGCAAAAUGUUAGCAAUUGUGUGGUAUCCAAGGUAGCACCUGGAAAAAUACAUUGACAACUAUACAAAAAAUGCUAGCUGCAUGGGUAUAAACAUAUAAAAACAUGUUACAGAACAUUUAUGAAUGCUUCAGAGUUUUAUGAGGUUGUAACCAUUUUGCAAGAGUCUGCAAAAUGUGAAAUAAAGUGUUUCCACAAGA
Protopterus annectens (West African lungfish) is the source of this 483-nucleotide long non-coding RNA. RefSeq lists it as uncharacterized. NCBI's taxonomy places the organism in Eukaryota, Metazoa, Chordata, Ceratodontiformes, Protopteridae. The transcript is spliced from 2 exons. The record is from RefSeq and is a predicted model, not a curated record.